GGGGAUGAUGAUCCCAGGUGACUCUGAGUGUCUCUGACGCC
This 41-nucleotide small nucleolar RNA is filed under the name Myotis davidii. RNAcentral describes it as "Small nucleolar RNA SNORD48". It matches the Rfam family "Small nucleolar RNA SNORD48", at positions 1 to 43 of the family's 63-position model. Rfam says of the family: U48 belongs to the C/D class of snoRNA which contain the C (UGAUGA) and D (CUGA) box motifs. Most of the members of the box C/D family function in directing site-specific 2'-O-methylation of substrate RNAs. The record is from Rfam by way of RNAcentral. Lineage: Eukaryota; Metazoa; Chordata; Mammalia; Chiroptera; Vespertilionidae.